AUGUCCAGAUAGCCAUGCAUGUCUAAGUAUAAAUGCUAUACAGUGAAACUGCGAAUGGCUCAUUAAAACAGUUAUAGUUUAUUUGGUAAUCGACAAUUACAUGGAUAACCGUGGUAAUUCUAGAGCUAAUACAUGCUGUGGUGCCCGACUUCACGGAAGGGCCGUAUUUAUUAGAUAACAGCCAAUAAGACUCGCGUCUAUUGUGGUGACUCAUAGUAACUGAUCGGAUCGCAUGGGCCUGUCCCGCGACAAACCAUUCAAGUUUCUGCCCCAUCAGCUUUCGAUGGUAGUGUAUUGGACUACCAUGGCUUUUACGGGUAACGGAGGAUUAGGGUUCGAUUCCGGAGAGGGAGCCUGAGAAACGGCUACCACAUCCAAGGAAGGCAGCAGGCGCGUAAAUUACCCAAUCCUGACUCAGGGAGGUAGUGACAAGAAAUAACGGGCCGGGGUACGACCUCGGGACUGCAAUGAGACGAAUUUACACCCCUUAUCGAUCACCA
Molecule: ribosomal RNA, 500 nt
Filed under: uncultured eukaryote
Lineage: Eukaryota
Description: bacterial SSU rRNA
Rfam family: Eukaryotic small subunit ribosomal RNA
Source: RNAcentral